UACAGAGGGUGCGAGCGUUAAUCGGAUUUACUGGGCGUAAAGGGUGCGUAGGUGGUCACGAAAGUCGGAUGUGAAAGCCCUGGGCUCAACCUGGGAAUGCCAUUCGAUACUCCGCGACUAGAAUUCGGUAGAGGGAGGCGGAACUCCAGGUGUAGCGGUGAAAUGCGUAGAGAUCGGAAGGAACAUCAGUGGCGAAGGCGGCCAUCUGGGACAACACUGACGCUGAAGCACGAAAGCGUGGGGAGCAAACAGG
This 253-nucleotide ribosomal RNA is filed under the name uncultured bacterium. RNAcentral describes it as "partial 16S ribosomal RNA". It matches the Rfam family "Bacterial small subunit ribosomal RNA", at positions 524 to 776 of the family's 1533-position model. The record is from RNAcentral.